Molecule: non-coding RNA, 69 nt
Organism: Triplophysa rosa
Lineage: Eukaryota; Metazoa; Chordata; Actinopteri; Cypriniformes; Nemacheilidae
Source: the annotation of a RefSeq genome assembly
GUAAGUAUAGUUUAACCAAAACAUCAGAUUGUGAUUCUAAAAAUAGAGGUUAGAAUCCUCUUACUCACC